GCCGGAAUGGCGAAAUUGGCAGACGCCCGGGACUUAAAAUCCCGUGGGACCAGAAUCCCGUACCGGUUCGAGCCCGGUUUCCGGCACCA
This 89-nucleotide transfer RNA is filed under the name Clostridia bacterium. Its description in RNAcentral is "tRNA-Leu". It matches the Rfam family "tRNA". From Rfam's summary of the family: Transfer RNA (tRNA) molecules are approximately 80 nucleotides in length. Their secondary structure includes four short double-helical elements and three loops (D, anti-codon, and T loops). The record is from RNAcentral. Lineage: Bacteria; Bacillati; Bacillota; Clostridia.